This 161-nucleotide ribosomal RNA is filed under the name Curtobacterium luteum. Its description in RNAcentral is "partial 16S ribosomal RNA". It matches the Rfam family "Bacterial small subunit ribosomal RNA", at positions 1382 to 1533 of the family's 1533-position model. Lineage: Bacteria; Bacillati; Actinomycetota; Actinomycetes; Micrococcales; Microbacteriaceae. The record is from RNAcentral.
UGUCCACACCGCACGUCUAGUCAUGUGAGUCGGCAACACCCGAUGCCUGAGUCCUAACCCUUGUGGUAGGAGCCGCCGCAGGUGGGAUCGGUGAUUAGGACUUACUCGUAAUAAGGCAGCCGUACCGGAAGGCGCUGCGCGAUCACCUACAUACUACGGAG